Callithrix jacchus (white-tufted-ear marmoset) is the source of this 107-nucleotide small nuclear RNA. The record is from Ensembl. NCBI's taxonomy places the organism in Eukaryota, Metazoa, Chordata, Mammalia, Primates, Cebidae.
AUGCUCACUUUGGCAGCAUAUAUACUAAAAUCAGAAUGAUACAGAGAAGAUUAGCAGGGCCUCUGUGCAAGGAUGACACACAAAUUCAUGAAGUGUUCUAUAUUUUU